GAUGAACGCUGGCGGCGUGCCUAAUACAUGCAAGUCGAACGAACAGACGAGUAGCUUGCUCCACUGACGUUAACGGCGGACGGGUGAGUAACACGUGAAUAACCUACCUAUAAGACUGGGAUAACUUCGGGAAACCGGUGCUAAUACCGUAUAAUUUCUUCAACCGCAUGGUUCAAUAGUUACAGCGGGUUUUGCUGUCCCUUCUACAUGGCUCCGCGCUGCAUUAGCUGGUUGGUAAGCUAACGGCUUACCAUGGCCACCAUGCGUAGCCGACCUGAGAGCGUGAACGGCCACAGCGGGAGUGAGACACGGUCCUGAGUCCGACGGGAGGCCGCGGUAGGGAAGCGACCGAGAUGGGGGGAAGAUUGAAGGAGGAACGCAGGGUGAGUGAUGAAGGGCUGCGGACCGGAAAACGGUGUUAUUGGUGAAGAACAAAUGUGUAAGUAACUAUGCACGUCGUGACGGUACCUGAUCAGAAAGCAACGGCUAACUACGUG
RNAcentral lists this ribosomal RNA (497 nucleotides) under uncultured bacterium. Its description in RNAcentral is "partial 16S ribosomal RNA". It matches the Rfam family "Bacterial small subunit ribosomal RNA", at positions 28 to 507 of the family's 1533-position model. The record is from RNAcentral.